AGAAGCAAGCUGCUUACACCCACAACGUAGUCACCUCUACCAUAUUUUUCUCCUCUUGGCUUUCGCGCACCUCCCCGUCCUCCAAAGCAGCCAUAGGUGUCCCUCCCGCCACCCUGGCUAGAAGUGUUGCUCCUGCUAGGGUGCCACUUGAAGGGCCCAGAAACCCCACCUUUCCCGGUCGCCCCCCUCUCCGACACGACCUUUGGUGACAACGUGGGCCAAGGCUGGCAGGGGCAAGCCCGGGUGGGGUUCUGGGGUGGGGGGUGGGGGGCAAGGAGAUGCGACCUUACAUCCUGGCGGGCCCAGUCCGAGUGAGGCCUCUGGGACGUGCGGCGAAGGAAGGAAGGAAGGAGGCAGCGCGGGGACACGUGUUGGCCCAGAGUUUGGAAAGAGAGAAUGCUGUGGGGCGCGGGGCUCCCGAGACUCUGGGAGGCGGGGGCGCUGGUAGCCAGCCUGGAUUUGGGCGGACGUCGCAAGUCCCGGGUCACACGAGGUAACCGGCGUGCUCCUAACCUGGAGCAGCAAACCUGAUUCUGAUCUGGGCACGUAGGCGCAGCCCCGCGGAAGGCGUUAGCAGCUGCGGACGUCGCUUGGGGGCAGGCAGCGUCCGAGGCCAGGGAUCGCAGGAUCAUCACCGGCACGUGCAAAGAUCAAGGCGAAGUGCUGGCCGUGACCCUGGCGGGGUCAAGGCCGACUUCUAGCCCCAUCCCGCGGGGUUCGGAAACGGCCCUGCAACCCCAGGCCCAGGAGUCCGCCCGGCGCCCUGCGAGCAGGAUUUCGUUUCUAUUCCCAGCACGCGUCCCAGCAGCGCACCGGGAGAUCCAGUUUCGCCGGAACGUACCCGGUGACUUGUUGGUUUGAAAGUUGAAGCCCCGGGGUAGUAGGGCUGGCCACAAAAAUUUCAAACCCCGCUAAUCCUAGACAAAAUAAAAACAGAAUAGGCCACAAACCAACCAACUUGGGGCAAAUUCCGUGGUGGUCUCCUGGCUGGGCAUGUGGAGUGGCGGGACCUGGAGGGAGCGGACCUUUCCACCUCGAGUUCCCGGCGUGUGGGAAGACCUCGGCAGGGCCUUACAGCGGGUCUCGUCCCCACCGCUUGCUCCCGUCUUCUAAAGAAGUACAAAGACAACCCCCAAGCCCGCCGCACCCACGGCUGGGGGCGCGCGGGGGGCUACGGGCACAGGUUGCUAGCCUGGAGCCCGAGCUUGGCACGACUUCGCCCCACACCCAGACGCAGGGUCUCCCAGAGAGACGAGAUCGAGGCCUAGGAGCCCCGGGCCCCCACUCGGGAGCCAACCCGCCCAGCACGAAGAAGGCUCCCGGUCCCCACGCCGGCGAGCUGGGAGGCAGGCGGACGCUCGAGGCUCCAGCAGGGUGGAAUCCUAAAGAAAGAAAAAAAAAAAUCUGGAAAGAGAUAAAAAUAAAUUUGAACAAAACUAAACUACAAGCCCGCAGGACCCGCCGAAAGCGAGGUGGGGGAGGAGGGGGGCGGGAACGGCGAGGCGCGGAGAGUGGGGGAUGCGAAACGGACUCCGUCCCCUGCAGAGCCGGUGCCUUCGGGGGCUGCACCGCCGCGCGCUCCCACCCGCAAGGCCCAGCCAAGCCUUCGGAGGCCGCCUUCAAUGCCUGUCAGGACAAAGGAUGCUGCGCCCCCUGGUGUCAAACUGGCAGUCAGCACCGCUCGCUGUCGGGGAGACCCAGGGUCCAGCGGGAAAAGUCCCCGGGUCAGUCGGAUGCCUUUUCUUCUGUUUGCUAA
Molecule: long non-coding RNA, 1756 nt
Filed under: Canis lupus dingo (dingo)
Lineage: Eukaryota; Metazoa; Chordata; Mammalia; Carnivora; Canidae
Description: lncRNA (ENSCAFG00020012304.1)
Source: RNAcentral